ACGCAUGCGCAAGGCUUGAAUGGCGUCGGGGUUGGAGGGUUGGAAGGUCGGGAAGUGAAGGACUCGCAGGCAUAUUUAACAACGCAAAGUUGCUAGGAGUUGGUACCAGCGUUUGGGAGGUAGAGGUGGCGCUCAUGCAUAUUUGAGACAACAUCUGGAUGGUUGGGGAGAACGGUAAGGAGGAAGCGGCGCGCAUGCGUAUUUCAGACGGAGUGCCGGGGAGGGGAGGCGCUCAGCAUUCGGGUAAUUAAGGUUGCAAAAUGGCGAGGGGGGAGGUGAUGCCACACUCAAUCAGAAACUAUGCUACUGCUGAAGAGGUAUAUUGAGCCCUGCCUGGUUAACCUCCAGUGAGGUUAUUAGAGAAUUGGGAGAGGCUCAAAUCAGCAUCCUGCACCUAGUUAUCAAACCAUUGUGAAGUCUUGAUUCCUGGAUGGCCAGAAAACUUGUCAUUGGUCAAGAGCAACAUUAAGAUCUGCCUGUUACUCAUACUGAUGCUUCCUGCCCAGCAAGUUCAUCAGAGGGCGAGGAUGAAUUACGGUUGCCAUGAAUGUCCUUGUGAGGCAGUUGGGAAGCCUUGGCUGGAUUGUGAAGGAUAUUUGAAAAGUAUUUUAGAGUCCACCAGAUCAUCCAUGUGAGUGACCAUGCAGCAAAAGAAGGAGGGUCCUCUCAGUGAUUAAGGAUUAUGAAGUAUUAAUUCUUCCACUGAUAUCUCAAAAGGUGAUCUGGACAAAGGAACAGGUAUCUCAGUAGAGACGGGGUUUCACCAUAUUGGCCAGGCUGGUCUCGAACUCCCGACCUUGUGAUCCGCCCACCUCAGCCUACCAAAGUGCUGGGAUUACAGGCGUGAGCCACCGCACCUAGCGAUGCUUAAAUCUUCUAGUCCACAAAUAUGAGAUGUCUUUCCACAUAUGUAGAUAUUCCUCAACUCCUCUGACAAAUAUUUUGUGUUAUUCACAGUUCAUGCUGAAUUUCACUUUAUCCCACAGUAUUUUGCCUUAAUAAUAUUGUAAAUAAAAAUGUUUCAAUGAUGUCACUUUUGACUUCUUUAAUAAUAUAUAGAAAUACAACUGAUUUUUGGAUUGUAAUCUUAAAUCACAAAAACUUGCUGAGAUGAUCUUGUUAUUGGAAUCCAAAUUUAUUGGAUCCACUGGGGUUGUGUAUGUACAAAACCAUGUCAUCUGCAAAAGGUUUUGCUGCUUCCUAUUUAAAAAAUUUUAUUUCCUUCCAUAUGCAAUGCAAUUAAUGUCACAGAUACUUCCAGUACACUGUUGAACAGAACUGGCAAGAAUGUUUUAUCCUGUCCUUGCUCCUCUUCUUACAGAGAAAGCAUUCUUUAAAUACUAAGUGUAACAUUAGUUUUGAGGGUUUUGGGUUUUCUGUUUUGUUUUGCUUUUUAGAGACAGGGUCUCACUCUGUUGUUCAGUCAGGAGUACAGUGGCAUCAUCAUAGCUCAUUGUAAACAUGAACCUCAGCUUCCCAAGUAGCUAGGCGUACAGGCAUGUGUCAUCACAUCUGGAUUUUUUUUUUUUUUUUAAGAUACAGAGUAUCCUUAUAUUGCCUAGGCUGAUCUCAGACUUCUGGCCUCAAGUAAUCCUGCUUUGGCUUCCCCAAGUGCUGGGAUUACAGCCACGGCACCAGGUUCUAGUUGUGAAUUCUUAAAAUAUGCCCUUUACUAGGUUGUGGUUUACUUCUUAGUUUACCAAAUACUUUUUCCACCUUCUAUUUUUUUUUUCUCUCUCUUUUUUUUUAAACAUAGUCUUGCUGUGUCAGCCAGGUCCAAGUGCAGUGGCACAAUCUCCGCUCACUGCAACCUCCACCUCCUGGGUUCAAGUGAUUCUACUGCCUCAGACUCCCGAGUAGCUGGGAUUACAGGCACUUGCCACCAUGCACAGGUAAUUUUAGUAUUUUUAGUAGAGAUGGGGUUUCACCAUGUUGGCCAGGCUGGUCUCGAACUCCUGACCUCAAGUGAUCCGCCCACCUCAGCCUCCCCCAGUGCUAGGAUUACAGGCGUGAGUCACUGAGCCCAGCCCAUGGCUAUUACAAAGUCAAAAACAAACAAACAAACAAACAAAAAAACAGAUUCUGGUGAAGUUACAGAGAAAAAGGAAUGCUUAUACACUGUUGGUAGGAGUAUUAGGAUUACAGGCGUGAGCCUCCACUUCCAGCCGUCCACAAUCUAUUGAGAUGACCAUGUUGUUUUCUUCCUUCAGUCUGUUGCACUAAUCAUUUCCAGCUGAUGAAAUAACGUUGCAUUCCAGGGAUACACUGUACUGGGUACUGGUGUACAUUCCUGUUUAUAUGUUACUGUAUUUGGUUUGCCAAAAUUUACUAGGAAAUUUCACAGAUCCACUCAUAAGCGAUAUUAUCAGAGUUUUCCCUGUGUAUGAUGUUUCACUUUGGUAUCUAGAUAACAAUAGCAUCAUAGAACCAGUAAAAAAUAUUACAUGCUCUUCCAAGUUUUUAAGACAUUUUUAUCGAAUUGGUAAUUUUCAUGUGUUUGGUAUAAUAUACAAAAGAAUACAUUUGAACUGGGAAUUUACAUGUGUGUCAGGGGCAGGGGUGAGAGUUUUUAAAUUACCAAUUUAUUGUCUUCACUUUGUUCUUGAAUGAGUUGUGGUAGUCAGUGUCUUUCUAGGAAUUUGUCUACUUCCACAAAGAUAUUUGUCAAAAUACUAAUCCCUUGUAUGGAAUAAGGUCAUUAGGAACAUCACGUUUUACAUUUCUCAUUUUAAUAAAGCUUUAUUUUAUGAAUAAGUCAACGAAGUGCUGUGUUUCUCAAUUAUUUUUAAUUCUCUAUUUCCACACUAAACUUUAUAUCCUUUCUGCUUUGAUUUUAAUUUGUUCUUUUUUUACUGUAUUUUCUAAAGUUGGAAAGUUAGGUUAGUAAUUUGAAGUACUUCUCAUUUCAUUACAAUGUUCAUAGCUAUUAAUUUCACUGUAAGCGUUGCUUUCACACAUCUCACAGAAUUUGAUAUGUUGUUUCUGUAUUUUCAUUCACCUCAAAGUAUUUUCUGAUUUCCUUAUAAAUUCUCCUUUGACUUGUUGGUUACGUAACUUUUUUUUUUUUUUUUUUUUUUUGACAGUCUUUGUCGCCCAGGCUGCAGUGCAGUGGUGUGAUCUCGGCUCACUGCCACCUCUGCCUCCUAGGCUCAAGUGAUUCUAGUGCCUCAGCCACCCGAGUAGCUGGGACUACAGGCGCACACCACCACAUCUGGCUAAUUUUCUGUAUUUUUAGUAGAGACAGGGUUUCACCAUGUUGGCCAGGCUGGUCUCCAACUCCUGACUUCAAGUGAUCCACCCUCCCCGGCCUCCCAAAGUGCUGGGAUUACAGGUGUGAGCCACCACACUCAGCAUAACUUUUUAAAUUUGCACAAAUAUGUAUAGUUCCUAUCUCUGUGUUAUUUCUAAUUUCAUUAAAUUUUAGUCAUAGAACAUAUUUUGUAUAAUUUCAAUAUUUUUAACCUUCAUUUGGUUUGUUUUGUAUGAUGUUAGUGCAGACAUUCCAGUUUUUUUGUGGUUGCUACUUGGAUAUUUCUAUUUCCAUCCUAUUUCUUUCAACACUUUUGUAUUUUAUAAACUGCCUACAACAGACACCUUAUAGUUUGAUUGUUUUUUAAAUAUCCACUUGGUCAAUCAGACUGGUUUGGAUUGCUUGAUCCAUCAGUACAGCUGGAUUUAAAUUUUCCAUUAUACAUUUUAAAAUUCUAUGUCUAUCUUCUUUUACAGAAUCCCUCCUAUACUACUUUUUAUAAGUUAAUAUUUUCUAAAAUAAUGUAUUAUUAUCUUUAACGAUUUUUCCCUCUAUUAUAUGAAAAUCCUUUUUAGUGGUUGCAGUAGGGCUUUUUUUUAUAAUUGACAAGUAAUAAUUGUAUAUAAUUCCAGGGAACUAUCUGAUGUUUUUGUAUGUAUACAUAGUGUAAUAACUAAAUCAAGCACAUUAACAUAUCCAUAACUUCACCUACUUUUGUUGUGACAACUUUAAUAUCUACUUAUAACAAUUUUAAAAUAUACAGUCAGUGACAAUGGUCACCAUGCUGUGAAAUAUGUCUAAAACUUAUUCCUCCUAACAGAAAAUUGGUACUCUUUGACCAACGUCUUGCCUUUGCCCAUCUCUCCAACACCCACAUCCUGGAAACCAUAACAUCCAACUUUCUACUUGUAUGAGUUAGCCUUUCUUAGAUUCCACAUACAAAUAUAAUGUAGUAUUUGCCUCUCUGUGCCUGUCUUACAACACUUAGCAUAGUAUACUACAGAUUCAUCCAUGUUGUCACAAAUGACAAUUUUCCUUCUUUUCCAAGGAUAAAAAAUAUUCCAAUAUGUAUAUACAACACAUCUUCUAUGUCCAUUCAUCUGUUAUGAAAACUUAAGUCUUUUCCAUUUAUUAGCUUUGUAAAUAAUUUCAAAAUAAGGGAGUGCAAGAUCUCAACAUACUGCUUCAAUUCCUUUGGAUAUAUACCUAAGUAGAGAUUGCUAGAUCAUAUAGUAAUUGUACUUUUAGUUUCUUAAGGAACCACCAUAUAGUUUCCUAAAUUGGCUAUACUAAUUUAUAUUCCCACUAACAGAAUGUUGGGACUUCCUUUUAUCCACAUCCUUGCCAGCACCUGUCUUUCAUCCUUUUAAUAAUAGCCAUUCUAAAAGGUGUAAGGUAAUAUCUUGCAGUUUUGAUUUGCAACUCACUAAUGAUUAGAGAUGUUGAGCAUUUUUUUCAUGUAUCAAUCAAUUGGCCACUCAUGUCUUCCUCUGAAAAAUUUAAGUUGAGGUCCUUUUCCCCCUUUUAAAGACAGUUGUUUUCUUGCUAUUGGGCUUGGGUUUCUUAAUACAUUUUGGAUAUUAGCCCCUUAUCAGAUAUAUGAUUUGAAAAUGGUUUCUCAAAACCCGUGUCUUCAUUCUGUUAACUGUACCCUUUGCAGUGCAGAUGCUUUUUAGUUUGAUGCAACUCAAGUUGUCUGUUGCGGGAAGUCAGGGACCCCAAACGGAGGGACUGGCUGAAGCCAUGGCGGAAGAACGUGGAUCGUGAAGAUUUCAUGGACAUUUAUUAGUUCCCCAAAUUAAUACUUUUAUAAUUUCUUAUGCCUGUCUUUACUGCAAUCUCUAAACAUAAAUUGUGAAGAUUUCAUGGACACUUAUCACUUCCCCAAUCAAUACCCUUGUGAUUUCCUAUGCCUGUUUUAAUCUCUUAAUCCUGUCAUCUCGUAAGCCGAGGAGGACGUAUGUCGCCUCAGGACCCUGUGAUAAUUGUGUUAAGUGCAGAAAUUGUAGAGCAUGUGUGUUUAAACAAUAUGAAAUCUAGGCACCUUGAAAAAAGAACAGGAUAACAGCAAUGUUCAGGGAAUAAGAGAGAUAACCUUAAACUCUGACCGCCGGUGAGCCAGGCGGAACAGAGCCAUAUUUCUCUUCUUUCAAAAGCAAAUGGGAGAAAUAUCGCCGAAUUCUUUUUCUCAGCAAGGAACAUCCCUGAGAAAGAGAAUGUGCCCCUGAGGGUGGGCCUCUAAAAUGGCCCCCUUGGGUGUAGCUGUCUUCUAUGGUCGAGACUGUAGGGAUGAAAUAAGCCCCAGUCUCCCAUAGCGCUCCCAGGCUUAUUAGGACGAGGAAAUUCCCACCUAAUAAAUUUUGGUCAGACAGGUUGCUCUCAAACCCUGUCUCCUGAUAAGAUGUUAUCAAUGACGAUGGUGCCCGAAACUUCAUUAGCAAUUUUAAUUUCAACCCAGUCCUGUGGUCCUGUGAUCUCGCCCUGCCUCCAUUUGCCUUGUGAUAUUCUAUUACCUUGUGAAGCACGUGAUCUCUGUGACCCACCUCCUAUUCGUAUACUCCCUCCCCUUUGAAAAUCCCUAAUAAAAACUUACUGGUUUUACGGCUCAGGGGGCAUCACGGAACCUACCGACAUGUGAUGUCUCCCCAGGAUGCCCAGCUUUAAAAUUUCUCUCUUUUGUACUCUGUCCCUUUAUUUCUCAACCCGGCCAAUGCUUAGGGAAAAUAGAAAAGAACCUAUGUGACUAUCUGGGCAGGUUCCCUGAUAGUUGUCUGGCUGUUUUUGCUGCCCAUGCUUUUAAGGAUGUAUCCAAGAAAUCAUUGCCCAGAACAACAUCAUAGAGCUUUUCCCCUAUAUUUUCUACUAGUAGUUUUACAGUUUCAAAGGCAACAUUUCAGGCUUUAAUCCAUUUUGAGUUGAUUUUUCUAUAUGCUAUGAGAAAAUGGUUCAAUUUCACAUAUAGAUAUACAGAUAUCUCAAAACAAUUUAUUUAUUUAUUUGUCCUCUCCCCAUUCUGUGUGCCACUUUUGUCAAAAAUCAAUUGGAUGGAAAUGUAUGAGUUAUGUCUGGGCUUUCCUGUUCCACUGGUCAGUGAAUCUGUUUUUAUGCUGGUACCACAGUUUUUUGAUAAUGGAUUACAAAAUCAGGUAGAGUGAUGCCUCCAGCUGUGUCCUUGUUGCUCAAGAUUACUUUGAUUAUUUAAUGUCUUUUGUAGUUCCAUACAAGUUUUAGAAUUUUUUUUGUAUUUCUGUAAAAAAAAUAAAAAUAAAAAGGACAUUGAAAUAUUGAUUACACAGAAUCUGUAUGUUUCUUUUGGCAGUAUGAAAAUUAUAACAAUAUAAAUUUCCCAAUCCAUGUACAAAGAAAAAUUUCUAUUUUUGUAAUCUUCAAUUCGUUUCAUCAAUGUUUUCACUAUACAGAUCUUUAACCUACUUGGUUAAAUUCAUUCAUAAGUUUGUUUACUUAGUAAAUAGUGUAAAUGUGAUUAGUUUCCUGAUUACUUUUUUGGAUAGAUUGUUGUUUGUUAGUGUAUAGAAAUGCUACAGACUUAAUUGUCAAUUUUGUACGUAGCACUUUUUAUGGAAUUCAUUUUAUUAGUUCUAUAGUUUUUUUUUUUUUAAUGGAGUCUUUAAGGUUUUCUAGCUAUAAGAUAAGAUAAUCAGGAGAGGCAAGUUUUUUCUUCUUUUCCUACUUAGAUGUCUUUUAUUUCUCUUGCCUAAAUGCUCUUGCUAUGACUUCCAGUACAACACUGAACAGAAGGAGAAAAAAUGGCAUCCAUGUCUUGUUCCUGAUCUUAGAGAAAAAGCCUUCAACUCUUCGGUGUUAAGAUUUCAGCUCUGGGCCGGUCAUAUAGGGCCUUUAAUGUGUUGAGACAUCUUCCUUUUAUACCUAACUUGUUCAGGUUUUUAUCAUGCAAAGAUGUUAAGUAUUGGGCCGGGGACUGUGGCUCAUGCCUGUAAUCCCAGCACUUUGGGAGGUCAAGGAGGGUGGAUCACCUGAGGUUAGGGGUUCAAGACCAACCUAGCCAACAUGGUGAAACCCUGUCUCAACUAAAAAUACAAAAGUUAGCUAGGCAUGGUGGCAGAUGCCUGUAAUCCCAGCUGCUCGGGAGGCUGAGGCAGGAGAACCCAGGAGGCAGAGGUUCAAGCGAUUCUCCUGCCUCAGCCUCCAGAGUAGCUGGCAUUACAGGCACAUACCACCACGCCUGGCUAAUUUUUGUAUUUUUAGUAAAGACGAUGUUGUGCCAUGUUGGCCAGGCUGGUCUCGAACUCCUGACCUCAGGUGAUGUGCCUGCCUCGGCCUCCCAAACUGCUAGGAUUACAGGCGUGAGCCACCGCACCCAGCCAACUAUGUACUUACUUUUAUCAGCGAGUUUUAUACUCACGUUUUCAUGUUUCUAAUUAGCACUCUUUUACUACAGCUUGAAGGACUCCCUUUAGCAAUUCUUCCCGUGCAGGUCUAGUGGUGGUAAACUCCCACAUCUUUUGUUUGAGAACUUUAUAUUUCUCCUUAAUUUUUGAAACACAGGAUAGUUGGAGAUAGUAUUCCUGGAUGGCAGUGUUUUCCUUUCAGCUUUUUGUAUAUAUCACGACUGCCUUCUGGCGUGAAAGUUUUCUGGUGAAGUCUGCUGACAGUCUUCCGUGGAUCAUUUUGUAUGUAAGAAGAGACUAUUCCCUUGCUGCUCUGAAGAUUGUCUUUAACCUUUAUUUAAUUACAAUAUGGUUUGGUGUGAGUCUCCUUGGAUUCAUCAUACCUGAUGUUCGAGAUUCUUAGAUCUAAAUUUCUAUUUCCUUGCCAGAAUUAUGAGGUUUUCUGACAUUAUUUCUUCAAAUAUGUUUUCUGUCCUUUUCCCUCUAUCUUCUCCAUCUGGUAAUGUAUAAAUUAUUCCCCUUUGAGGAUGUCUCAAAAGUCUCUUAAACUAUCUUCAAUCUUUUUUCUUUUUUCUCCUCACAUUACAUGAUUUCCAAUGGCCUAUCUACAAGUUUGAUAGCCCUUUCUUCUGCUUCAUCGAUUCUUCUGUUGGACACAUUAAAUUUUUGAGUCCAGUUAUUGUAUUCUUCAACUUUAUACUUUUUGUUAUCUUUUAUUUCUUUAUGAAAAUUCUCAGUUUGUUCAUGCAUUGCUCCCAUGAGACUCUUUAUGGUUGCUCUUUUUAAUUUCCUGUCAGGUUAAUCACAUAUCUUCAUUUCAUUAGGGUUGGUUUCUGAAGACUUAUCUUCUUUUAUUUAGAGUGUUUCUGUGUUUCAUUUUUCUUGACUCAAUGUGUUGAUUUCUGUGAAUUAGAUAAGAUAACCUCCUCUACCAGUCUUGUUAAACUGGCCUUCGGUAGGAGAUGUUUCUCUCCAAAUAACCCAGUGAAAGAUCUAGAUGCCUCUUUGUUCUUCUAUAACCCACUUUUACUGGCCUCCAGAGGUGAGGAUGAACUAAGUCAUAAUUUUGCCUUGAGACAGGUACUGGUCCCUCAUAAUGCAGCUGGAAGGGUUAGUGUUAUAUGUGUGUUCCAGUUGCUUCUUUCCUUUGAAGAAACUGAGAGACAAAGUUUACAUCAUACUGAUUUUGCACCACACCAAGUAGAGAAUUUGUGGUAGAUGUCUGUAAUCUCUUUGAGACUACUCAAUCUGAAACUGAGGCGAUAACUUCUGAAUGUUUCCAAGUUUGAAAAUCACCUAUUCUUGCUGGACGCGGUGGCUCAUGCCUGUAAUCCCAGCACUUUGGGAGGCUGAGGCGGGCGGAUCACCUGAGGUCGGGAGUUCGAGACCAGCCUGACCAACAUGGAGAAACCCCGUCUCUAGUGAAAAUACAAAAUUAGACGGGCGUGGUGGUGCAUGCUUGUAAUCUCAGGUAUUCAGGAGGCUGAGGCAGGAGAAUCACUUGAACACGGGAGGUGAAGGUUGCAGAGAGCCGAGAUUGCGCCACUGCACUCCAGCCUGGGCAACAGUAGUGAAACUCCAUCAAAAAAAGAAAAGAAAAAAGAAAAGAAAAGGGGGGGAGGGGAGGGGAGGGGAGGGGAGAGGAGAGGAGAGGAGAGAAAACUACCUAUUCUCAGUGGUACAGGAGACUCAGGAAUGAAGAGCUCUUUCAACUCCAGAGCUGGGUGAUACAGGAGCCAGUACCUUGAAUGAGGGAUGUAAAAUAUGGGGCAGUCAGUAUGUGUACAAAUUACUCCCAGGGAAAGUCUGCAGAAACGAAUUCAUCACCAGAGCAGGCCAAGUAGGAAAGCAUGGGAAGUACCCAAUCUCACAAUAAGGCACAGUAAGUCACACAACCUCCUGCCAGUAAGGAUUUGGAAGCCUGGACUUAUUGCUGGAGCAAUCUGAAGAAGAAAUUGCGAAGAACAUUCAUCUCCCUUUAAGGCUUCCUGAAGUCUCACAAACUCACUUCACACAGAAUCUCCAGGCCAAUAUGUUGUUGGAACAAGACUGGUACAUAGGAAGGCAGGUGAAGUACAGUUCCUCACAUAUAGCAUAAGAGAGGUCUGUCUCCCAGUCUCCUUCCAGGGAGAGAUUACAAGGUUAUACAUAUCUGGAGAAAGCUGGGAAAAGGCAUGGUGGGUUUUGACCCUUCCAUUUUUGCUCACUGAGGCCUCAAAUCUCUUUCAAGGGAAACUAUAGACCUGGAUUAAUCACUAGAGCAAUCCAG
This 9889-nucleotide long non-coding RNA is filed under the name Homo sapiens (human). RNAcentral describes it as "PREDICTED lncRNA (TCONS_00275361)". The record is from RNAcentral. Lineage: Eukaryota; Metazoa; Chordata; Mammalia; Primates; Hominidae.